GGCGGUGCAGGGGGUGGAUUGGACCCUGUCGGCGCUGCUGUUCCCGGCGAUCGCGGUUGUGAUUCUGGGCGGCGUCGAUUCCAUCGUCGGCGUACUGCUG
RNAcentral lists this transfer RNA (100 nucleotides) under Roseovarius pacificus. RNAcentral describes it as "tRNA-Ser". The record is from RNAcentral. Lineage: Bacteria; Pseudomonadati; Pseudomonadota; Alphaproteobacteria; Rhodobacterales; Roseobacteraceae.